This 160-nucleotide unclassified non-coding RNA is filed under the name uncultured Mycosphaerella. RNAcentral describes it as "sequence contains ITS1". RNAcentral also lists the same sequence under 1 other name. Lineage: Eukaryota; Fungi; Ascomycota; Dothideomycetes; Mycosphaerellales; Mycosphaerellaceae. The record is from RNAcentral.
CCAGAAGACGCCUCGGCGGAAACGCCGGGGCCUUCGUCCAACCCUUUGUGAACGUAUCUCUAUUGCCCCGGGGGAACCCCGCCUGUCAUGGGCGUGGGCCCCCGGUGGCCAACUCAAACUCUGUUUUUAUUGCCGUCUGAGUAACAAACAAAUCAAAACA